CCAUACGACCGUACCGCAAACCGACACUGGUGCGCGAGAUGAGUAUUCUAAGGCGCUUGAGAGAACUCAGGAGAAGGAACUCGGCAAAUUGACACCGUAACUUCGGAAGAAGGUGUGCCCUAUUAGUGUGAAGUGAACAACGGAGCAUGAAUGGGUUGCAAAAAAUCGGUGGCUGCGACUGUUUAUUAAAAACACAGCACUCUGCAAACACGAAAGUGGACGUAUAGGGUGUGACGCCUGCCCGGUGCUGGAAGAUUAAAUGAUGGGGUGCAAGCUCUUGAUUGAAGUCCCAGUAAACGGCGGCCGUAACCAUAACGGUCCUAAGGUAGCGAAAUUCCUUGUCGGGUAAGUUCCGACCUGCACGAAUGGCGUAACGAUGGCCACACUGUCUCCUCCUGAGACUCAGCGAAGUUGAAAUGUUUGUGAUGAUGCAAUCUCCCCGCGGAAAGACGGAAAGACCCCAUGAACCUUUACUGUAGCUUUGUAUUGGACUUUGAACAGAUCUGUGUAGGAUAGGUGGGAGGCUUUGAAGCAGGGUCGCUAGAUCUUGUGGAGCCAACGUUGAAAUACCACCCUGGUGUGUUUGAGGUUCUAACCUAGGUCCAUUAUCUGGAUCGGGGACAGUGCAUGGUAGGCAGUUUGACUGGGGCGGUCUCCUCCCAAAGCGUAACGGAGGAGUUCGAAGGUACGCUAGUUACGGUCGUACAUCGUGACGAUAGUGCAAUGGCAUAAGCGUGCUUAACUGCGAGACUGACAAGUCGAGCAGAUGCGAAAGCAGGACAUAGUGAUCCGGUGGUUCUGUAUGGAAGGGCCAUCGCUCAACGGAUAAAAGGUACUCUGGGGAUAACAGGCUGAUACCGCCCAAGAGUUCAUAUCGACGGCGGUGUUUGGCACCUCGAUGUCGGCUCAUCUCAUCCUGGGGCUGUAGCCGGUCCCAAGGGUAUGGCUGUUCGCCAUUUAAAGAGGUACGUGAGCUGGGUUUAAAACGUCGUGAGACAGUUUGGUCCCUAUCUUCCGUGGGCGCUGCAGAUUUGAGGAAGCCUGCUCCUAGUACGAGAGGACCGGAGUGGACACACCUCUGGUGUAUCGGUUGUCACGCCAGUGGCAUUGCCGAGUAGCUAAGUGUGGAGGAGAUAACCGCUGAAAGCAUCUAAGCGGGAAACUCGUUUCAAGAUGAGAUCUGCCGGGGCCUUGAGCCCCCUGAAGAGUCGUUCAAGACCAGGACGUUGAUAGGUCAGGUGUGGAAUC
Molecule: ribosomal RNA, 1248 nt
Filed under: metagenome
Description: bacterial LSU rRNA
Rfam family: Bacterial large subunit ribosomal RNA
Source: RNAcentral